This 460-nucleotide ribosomal RNA is filed under the name uncultured bacterium. RNAcentral describes it as "partial 16S ribosomal RNA". It matches the Rfam family "Bacterial small subunit ribosomal RNA", at positions 338 to 795 of the family's 1533-position model. The record is from RNAcentral.
CCUACGGGAGGCAGCAGUGAGGAAUAUUGGUCAAUGGGCGCGAGCCUGAACCAGCCAAGUCGCGUGAGGGAUGAAGGUUCUAUGGAUCGUAAACCUCUUUUAUAAGGGAAUAAGGUGUGGGACGUGUCCUAUUUUGUCUGUACCUUAUGAAUAAGGAUCGGCUAACUCCGUGCCAGCAGCCGCGGUAAUACGGAGGAUCCGAGCGUUAUCCGGAUUUCUUGGGUUUAAAGGGUGCGUAGGCGGCCUUUUAAGUCAGCGGUGAAAGUUUGGGGCUCAACCAUAGAAUUGCCGUGUAAACUGGGGGGCUUGAGUAGGUUUGAGGCAGGCGGAAUGCGUGGUGUAGCGGUGAAAUGCUUAGAUAUCACGCAGAACCCCGAUUGCGAAGGCAGCCUGCCAAGCCAUGACUGACGCGGAUGCACGAAAGCGUGGGGAUCAAACAGGAUUAGAUACCCGUGUAGUC